Molecule: long non-coding RNA, 462 nt
Organism: Pieris brassicae (large cabbage white)
Lineage: Eukaryota; Metazoa; Arthropoda; Insecta; Lepidoptera; Pieridae
Exons: 3
Source: RefSeq, a predicted model, not a curated record
UUGCUCUGAAUUUUUUCCAAGUCUGGCCUGACAUUAUUAGAGGAUAUUCACCACUUUCCUGGAUACAAAUGAGAUUUUUAUUUUUUAAACAGAAUACACUGAUUUUCCAUUAACAGAAUACCUCAUCAAACUCCUGAGUCAUUUUCUUAAUGAUAAGUGUAUGGUCCAUUUGAGCCAUAUCUGGUGUGACCUUUCCUCGACACCCAGAGGAAUUUAUGAAAAACUGCAUGAGCUGCACCAGUGCACUUUCCUUGUUGCUUUUGUACUCCUCAAUCCACAUGUCAACAACUUGCUAAAGAAGAAGCAAAAAUUACAUGAUAAUUUUAGAAGGCAGGAGAACUGGGGGUGGAGAGUAUGCAGGUGGUGGUGGAGCUCCACCUCUUCCUCGGCCUCUGCCUCGACCACCUCGACCGCGUCUGGGACGAACUGGGGGCGGCGGAGGCGACUCUGCUAAUCGUCCGA